This 253-nucleotide ribosomal RNA is filed under the name uncultured bacterium. RNAcentral's name for it is "partial 16S ribosomal RNA". It matches the Rfam family "Bacterial small subunit ribosomal RNA", at positions 524 to 776 of the family's 1533-position model. The record is from RNAcentral.
UGCGGGGGGGGCAAGCGUUGUUCGGAAUUACUGGGCGUAAAGGGCUCGUAGGUGGCCAACUAAGUCAGACGUGAAAUCCCCCGGCUUAACCGGGGAACUGCGUCUGAUACUGGAUGGCUUGAGUUCGGGAGAGGGAUGCGGAAUUCCAGGUGUAGCGGUGAAAUGCGUAGAUAUCUGGAGGAACACCGGUGGCGAAGGCGGCAUCCUGGACCGAUACUGACGCUGAGGAGCGAAAGCCAGGGGAGCAAACGGG